RNAcentral lists this ribosomal RNA (512 nucleotides) under Salmonella enterica subsp. enterica serovar Legon. RNAcentral describes it as "bacterial LSU rRNA". It matches the Rfam family "Bacterial large subunit ribosomal RNA", at positions 422 to 835 of the family's 2925-position model. The record is from RNAcentral. Lineage: Bacteria; Pseudomonadati; Pseudomonadota; Gammaproteobacteria; Enterobacterales; Enterobacteriaceae.
ACACGUGGUAUCCUGUCUGAAUAUGGGGGGACCAUCCUCCAAGGCUAAAUACUCCUGACUGACCGAUAGUGAACCAGUACCGUGAGGGAAAGGCGAAAAGAACCCCGGCGAGGGGAGUGAAAAAGAACCUGAAACCGUGUACGUACAAGCAGUGGGAGCCCCACCACUAAGCCAGUGGUGAACUCCACAUACGCAUCCUUUGCUGAGGAUACGGUUAACGGAGCGAAAGCGACGUUCAACCGCAAAAGAAGCAGAGGGGGCUUAGUGGUGGGGUGACUGCGUACCUUUUGUAUAAUGGGUCAGCGACUUAUAUUCUGUAGCAAGGUUAACCGCAUAGGGGAGCCGGAGGGAAACCGAGUCUUAACCGGGCGUUAAGUUGCAGGGUAUAGACCCGAAACCCGGUGAUCUAGCCAUGGGCAGGUUGAAGGUUGGGUAACACUAACUGGAGGACCGAACCGACUAAUGUUGAAAAAUUAGCGGAUGACCUGUGGCUGGGGGUGAAAGGCCAAUCA